UCACGAGGGCUUCACUGUCUCCUCCCUUAAAUCAGUGAAACUGAUCUCCCCGUGAAGAAGCGGGGAUAUAACUAUAAGACGAGAAGACCCCAUGGAGCUUUAAACUCAAUACACACCCACAGAUAUCUAAAUCAAUUUAAUCUAAAAAAUUGUGUGCUAGUUUUGGGCUGGGGGGGCCGCGGAGUAUAACCUAACCUCCACGACAAACAGGUUAAUACCUUUAUCCACGAGCUACGCCUCUAAGAAUUAAUAAACUAAUGUUCCAUGACCCAUUUUAUGAUCAACGAACCAAGUUACCCUGGGGAUAACAGCGCAAUCUACUUCGAGAGCUCAUAUCGACAAGUAGGUUUACGACCUCGAUGUUGGAUCAGGAAAUCCUAGUGGUGCAGCCGCUACUAAAGGUUCGUUUGUUCAACGAUUAAAAUCCUACGUGAUCUGAGUUCAGACCGGAG
RNAcentral lists this ribosomal RNA (452 nucleotides) under Amolops larutensis (Larut sucker frog). Its description in RNAcentral is "partial 16S ribosomal RNA". It matches the Rfam family "Bacterial large subunit ribosomal RNA", at positions 2002 to 2621 of the family's 2925-position model. The record is from RNAcentral. Lineage: Eukaryota; Metazoa; Chordata; Amphibia; Anura; Ranidae.